AAUGAACGCUGGCGGCAGGCCUAACACAUGCAAGUCGAACGGAGUUAUAUUGUAGCUUGCUAUGAUAUAACUUAGUGGCAGACGGGUGAGUAAUGUAUAGGAAUCUACCUAGUAGUACGGAAUAAUUGUUGGAAACGACAACUAAUACCGUAUACGCCCUAUGGGGGAAAAAUUUAUUGCUAUUAGAUGAGCCUAUAUUAGAUUAGCUUGUUGGUGGGGUAAUGGCCUACCAAGGCAAUGAUCUAUAGCUGAUCUGAGAGGAUGAUCAGCCACACUGGAACUGAGAUACGGUCCAGACUCCUACGGGAGGCAGCAGUGGGGAAUAUUGGACAAUGGGCGAAAGCCUGAUCCAGCCAUGCCGCAUGAGUGAAGAAGGCCUUCGGGUUGUAAAGCUCUUUUAGUGAGGAAGAUAAUGACGGUACUCACAGAAGAAGUCCUGGCUAACUCC
RNAcentral lists this ribosomal RNA (448 nucleotides) under uncultured Alphaproteobacteria bacterium. RNAcentral's name for it is "bacterial SSU rRNA". It matches the Rfam family "Bacterial small subunit ribosomal RNA", at positions 29 to 504 of the family's 1533-position model. Lineage: Bacteria; Pseudomonadati; Pseudomonadota; Alphaproteobacteria. The record is from RNAcentral.